AACUACUCUCCUCGAUUUUGAAAAUACUUCAAACUUUAAAGUAACUGAAAUAUCAAUUUUAUAAGAAUUCCAACUAAAAAAGAGCAUAAACUAUAUAGCUAGUUGGAAAUAGGCUAUCCCCUUAGUAAGGUAACCUAAAAUAUCGUUAUAACCACAUCAUGCGAAGAACAACAGGUGCACGCAUAUGUUUCCGCAACCGGAAUGGGGUCACCUGUGGCCAAAAAUAAACCAGGAGCGGCGCAGAAACUCACCGCGCAACAGACUGUAGUUGGUGGUGCCGUUCAGGAAGCCCUCGCACUCCUGCAUGUAAGCCACCCAGUCGAUCUCUGUGUAGGGCACCCGCUGGAUGACCACCACGUUGAUGACCAGCUCCGCCAGGAGCACGAAGAGGCCAACUAUGGGCAGAGCGGCCGGCUCCAGGAGCAGAUACUUGAAGAAGCGCACGUUGAGGUACUUGUCCAGGAUGGAGUCCACCAGGGUGCCCGACUUCUUGCGCCGCACCGCCGGACGGUGGCUGGCGGCCUUUGGCGGGGCCAUUUCUGUGAUAACCGGCGAAAAUUAAUUAAAAUUCAACUUGAACCGAAAAACAACCAGGGCGGCACUAUCAAAAUCAGCUGUUGCGCCUCCCAUCGAUAGCAGUCCAACUGGAUUUUGCAUGCUAUCGAUAUUUUCCCAAUUUAAAUUUGUAGUUCUAACAGCGAGCACCAGUGGCGUCUUCCGCUUCCGGUUGUUGCUUGGUUUUCAAGAAAAGAAAAUUUAAUUUUAUCACGC
Molecule: non-coding RNA, 771 nt
Organism: Drosophila melanogaster (fruit fly)
Lineage: Eukaryota; Metazoa; Arthropoda; Insecta; Diptera; Drosophilidae
Source: Ensembl